CGGCACGUGGAGUGGUUCCACGACCACGCGCGCGUGGAGUCCGCGCUGUUCGACGGGACCGGCGAGCCGGACGGCGGUGCGGUGCCGGCCCGGCCGGC
Molecule: transfer RNA, 98 nt
Filed under: Sphaerisporangium rufum
Lineage: Bacteria; Bacillati; Actinomycetota; Actinomycetes; Streptosporangiales; Streptosporangiaceae
Description: tRNA-Leu
Source: RNAcentral